GUGAGGAAUAUUGGACAAUGGGGGAAACCCUGAUCCAGCCAUGCCGCGUGAGUGAUGAAGGCCUUCGGGUUGUAAAGCUCUUUCGUGGGGGAAGAUAAUGACUGUACCCCAAGAAGAAGCCCCGGCUAACUCCGUGCCAGCAGCCGCGGUAAUACGGAGGGGGCUAGCGUUGUUCGGAAUUACUGGGCGUAAAGCGCACGUAGGCGGACUGGAAAGUCAGGGGUGAAAUCCCGGGGCUCAACCCCGGAACUGCCUUUGAAACUCCCAGUCUUGAGUUCGAGAGAGGUGAGUGGAAUUCCGAGUGUAGAGGUGAAAUUCGUAGAUAUUCGGAGGAACACCAGUGGCGAAGGCGGCUCACUGGCUCGAUACUGACGCUGAGGUGCGAAAGCGUGGGGAGCAAACAGGAUUAGAUACCCUAGUAGUCC
Molecule: ribosomal RNA, 425 nt
Filed under: uncultured bacterium
Lineage: Bacteria
Description: bacterial SSU rRNA
Rfam family: Bacterial small subunit ribosomal RNA
Source: RNAcentral